UAUAGAAGAAAGCAAUGGCUGACUUCGAUACUAUUUACGAAGAGGAUGACGAGGAAGGGCCUCCCAGCGACAGUCGGGAGUUAGUAGUCCCCGAUCCGAUACUCGUAAGGGGAGCAGGGAAUGUGACGAUAUUUGGUCUCAGUAAUAGAUUUGAUACAGAAUUCCCCACCAGUCUUUCAGCCAAGGUUGCUCCUGAAGAGUACAAGGCCACAGUGGUACGGCUGAACAGUGUGUUAAAGAAAGCUCUGCCAGUAAAUGUCAAGUGGCUGUUCUGUGGCUGUAUAUGUUGCUGCUGUACCCUGGGGUGUUCCCUGUGGCCUGUUGUCUGUCUCAGUAAGAGGACAAGACAUGCAAUAGAGAAAGUACUUGACUGGGAAAACACACGUUUAUAUCACAAACUGGGCCUGCACUGGCGACUAAGUAAGCAGCGCUGUGAUUCUAGCAGUAUGAUGGAAUAUGUGCUGCUGGUCGAGUUCCUACCAAAGAUCCCUAUAUUUCGGCCAGACUAACGCAAGGCCUGUCCUCCAAUCCCUGCCAUAUUUUGCUGCCACAAAUGAUGUGUAUAUUUUAGCAAGCAUUAUCAUCGUCAUCCUAGUCCAUGACCUCAUUGUGACAUCUAGACGUCACAUUUCACUUGUAGUUUACGUCUGGGUGUAGUGAGUUGUAGAAUGCUGAUGACUGACGACAAAGUACUGGGACUGCCACCAACAACCCUCAGCCCCCACCCCACACAUCAGACUGGGACUUUGCAUGAAAAAAAACAUGUGCAAGCAUUUCCUCUACUUGGCAACGCAGAAGAAAAUUAGAAAUCCCUUAGAUUGGAUCGACAACUAGAACACUUCAUUGAAUGAUAAAUAGAUUUAAUGAAAAAAAUGUGAUAACAUGAAUGUAUGUGCAUGGGUCGGUUGAAAUUUGAUUUCAAUAUUUGUGCAUUUUUGCAUUUGGUCAAAAAACAUAUUUUACUUGAUGGUAUAUAGUUUUCAUCAGUGAUGCUUGGCUACAGUCAUAUGUAUACCUGCGUCAUUUUGUGACAUGUUUAAUUAAAAAUGAAAAUGUUGAUUAAUUUAUGACUUGUUAGUGACAAUGAAUUCUUAUUAGUCUGUGUGUUGUAGUUGUCUGUCUGGCUCUUAACACAUCUAUACUCCAGACUUAUGAGAGAUCUUGUCUUGAUGUUUAACAUGAGAAAAGUACAUGUGUCUUGACAGUUUAGUAAACUUGUACUGAACAACUUAUUUUUUUCGGAAAAUCAGAAUGUAUAAAUAUAUAUGAUUCAUUUAUUUUUAAGAAUGCACAAUGUGAAUAUUGAAAUGCUUUCUUUGCAAAGGUAUAUGAAAUGAAUUGUCUCAAAAUAUUUCUUGAUCAUAAUGGCAAAAUUUCAGGAUUUAUUUUAUGUAAUUAACCAAUACUAUCGUUAGGUAUGGAAGUUUUACAAACGAUUUUUCCCAGGCAUAAUUUUAAGGAUGUUAAUUUGCUAAGUAUAAGAAGUGGGUGAAGCUAGUUGUUGAACAAAUACUGAGCAAAAAAUUCUGUUUAUAUACCAGGUAAAUUAGAACUACAUUUUUGAAGACCAAGCUAGACUUGGUUCUGCAAAGGUGAUCUAACAUUUAAUAUUAACUUUGAUUUCAAAUCUUUUUGCAUAGUUAUGCAAUAUAAUACAAAACAAUACAUAAUUAUUAAAGUGAAAUUGGAUUUGGAAAUAAGUUUUACAAAUUACAUCAAUCCAUUUAGGACAAUACAUUAAAAGUUGGAGUUACUAAAAUUCCAUAAUACUUCGCACAUGGUGGGUCUGUACUACUUCACAUUGUACUUCAAUAAAACUGGUAGAUAGCUGACAAUGACCAAAUGUUAAUCAUGUUCAACAUCAUAUUGGCUCUACUAUAACAGGCCACACAAUAAUUUCUCGUUAACAUUACCCUGAUAACAAUAUAAUGUUUACAGGAGAUAUCGUUUUGAAGAUGAUCAAGUAAAAAGACCCAAAAGAAUGAAAUUGACCCCUGUUAAUUUGUUGAUAACUGAUGUACACAUAUAGAGAAAUGAUACAGUGUAUUUACUUGUGACUUGCCAUUAUAUUUGGUCACAUCUUAUUCUCAGGGUCAGGUAAGCUGUAUUUGUAGCUGGUGGUUCAAUAGUCUAAUGAAGCACCACUGAUUUCCACAGCUUUGUUGACUGAAAAUCUAGAACAAAUUGAAUUUACUGGGAUCAAUAUUACCAUGUUUGUUUUUAAUAUUGUCUGAGGUUUGAGAUACUGCUGCCGAUUAACCUUUCCUAGAAUUUCUUCAGUAUUGUGUUGGAUCUCUAUCUCUAGUCAAAUAUGUACUGAACUACCAUGGUCUGACUGAGCAUCAACAGUACAUGUAUGUAAUUUCAGACUAUACAUGAUAAACCCACGAUGAAAGUGAAAUGAUAAAUAUGUGAUGCAUUUGACAUCAUAAUCAAAUGACACAUUCAAAAGAUAAAAUUUGUAAUGAAUUUGUGCAGGGAAUAUGGAAUUUUACAAUUUUCCAGUGUCAGUGUUCUGGUAGUUCCCUGGAGUCGGUAGCCUUCCGUGGAUGGAUUCCUGAUGGAAUUCAGUACCAGUACAUGUACAUGAAGUACUGUAAUCAGAAUUCAACGUAAAGAUGCCUUGACAACAUCCACAGGAAGGUAAUCAGCAAUUUGUAUUGUGAUGUUAACAGUUUCAACAAACUAGGUGUCGGUGGAAUGUCCAGUCGUCUUUACUUUGAAUUUUGAUAGUUAUAGGUAAUUCUUGUUCCAUACCAGCAACAAGUGAUGUCGCACACACAACCAAUGGGACAAUUUUUCUGUUAUUUCAUCGUCAGGAAGAAGCAUUAGACUGACUCAGUGUUAUCAUGUUUUACAGACAAUACUGUCCUGAUCCCAGCCAUCCAUUGCCUUGCCUUACUGGUAUUUCCUCGCUGUACAUAACGUGAUUUCAUGUAUAAUUUGGAUUGAUACAAUACAGAGGUUACAAUUAAAGUAUAACGGAAAAAAAUCAUGCACAUUACAAUUGUAAAGUUUAAAAUAUAGAUUUUUCUGGUUAAGUAGAAAGAUGUGACUUGAGCAAAAAGUUUGGUUUUGAAUAUUUUACUUUUUGUUAUUUGAGCAAGAUUAACAUAUUUUGAUCUUGAGUUCAAUGUUUAGUAAUUCCAACAAAAAGGCAAUCGGAAUAUCCUAACACAAAUGCUAGUUACCUCCACGUUGUUGGUAUAUGCUUUGUGAAAUAUUUUACCUCAAAAUGCAUGUCAAUUUGUAUGGUUGCUAAAUCGGCUAUUUGUUGUUGAGAAAUACAAGUUGUAAAUUACAAUUAUAAAAAAUAUAAGUCUUGUUUGUUGUAUUGAAUUCUUGAAUUAUUUUUUAAAGAUUAAAAUACAUAAUUGUUUAUACUGUCUCAGGUUAUAUGACAAUUAAGAAAUAGCUAAAAUGUGUUUUUGAUUUUUUUUGGGAUUUGUGACUUUUAGUUUUGGCUUUGUAUAUAUGUGUGUCUAUUGUUUUGUGUUUAUAUAAUGUUGAUUGCAGAGAUGACCUGUAGAUAUGUGUGUAUAGUGUUUUGUGUGUAUAUAAUGUUGAUAGCGGAGAGGACCUGAGGUCUAUAGCUCUCUGAUCAUCCACUUAAAGCAGCUGUGUUAAUAUUAAACAUCAUUUAUGAUGAAGGGGACCCAACAUGAUUGUUCAGGAUAAGCAUUGUUGUAUUAGAUAUUUCAAUGAUUUAAGUAAUAUAUUAUCUGGAAGUUCACAUAGAUUUUUUGUUUUCAUUACAAAAUAAUUGUAUGAUUGUUACAAGUAGUGCAAUGUAGUAAAAACAACUGUGAGUACUGAAACUGAUAGUGAAAAUACCUGUGAAUGAUAGAGUUCACUGACUCUCAUUCAUUUAGUAGCUUUUACAGUGUAUUACAGUACACCCUUGUGUGCCACUAGUCUUGGUUAGCGACAGUAGUUAGUUAAUUGUUAUAUCAUAUGGAGAUAUUCCAGAGACACUGUUAUAGUUCUAGUUCAUUUUUAUCAGUGUUUGAUUUACAGAAUGGAAAGGGACCAACAUUGAUGGAAAAGAAAACAGUUCCUUUGCUACUAAAGAGAUGAUGUGGGUGCUUGUUUGCUUGUGUCAGAAAUAUGUUUAUCGAAUGUGUGUAAACCGUUACAUUGAGCGAACAUUCUACAAAUUCAGUUUCGUGAUUCAGAUAUUUCAAAACGUAUAUAACAAAAUCUAAAUUGAAAACAAAUUUCAACACAAAUGUAUUAGUCAGAUUUAGUUUCUGUAAUAACAAAAUGAAAGUUUGACAUGCAAACUGAUCAUAUGAUGAUAAGUGUAUAGUGUGUGGGAACUGUGUAUUUUUUUUUCAUAAUUCAGAAAUAUUAAAAAAAACUACUGGGAGUGUUAAAUCUCAAUGUGUAACGAGCACAGCCGGAAAAAGUACAUAUGAUGUAUGUUUAUUGUCUUGUAAGCAUGCAGUAGUAUAGAUGUGUGCUGGGUGUUUGUCACCAUUAUUGUUGAUGCUUAAUAAUUUACAGGUAUAUAUACAUGUAUACAUUUAACUUUAUUCAUCUGUAUUUUUCUUAAAACAUCUCAAGGAAUGGGUACAAAUGGUGACUGGUUUGAAAAUAAUGGGAAUAAUUUUAUGAAUGAGAUCCACUUUGGUAUGAAUAAUAUAUGCUAUAAGUUAGGUUUGUAUGCAAAAAAUAAUUGAGAACUUAUUACCCUAAGGGGCGGAAUGUGUAAACAGGGUCCCCGUGACUGCCUGCAGUAUUAGAAAUGGAUCAAUGUAAUGGUCAUUUGCACUCUUUGCUUGACAAUGGAAACAUAAGUGUUCCCGUAACUCACAGCUGACGUACGCGUUGAUACAAUUAUAAGGAGGCAAAGCAAAAGAAAAUAUAAAUAUAUAUAUUGUUUAUUAAUCAGUCAAUAAACUGUCUUCAUUUGGUUGUCGACCAGAAGUGCAUUACAAUUGGCCAAAACACAUGAUGGUUGGUUAAUGAAAGCUGGGCAUUGAUUGGUCAUUGGGACGUCGAAAUGGGUUGGCCGAUACAUAGUACAAACUUCCAUUCCACCUCUUUCUUGGAUGUGUGCUUAUAAUAGUUUCUAUAUUGUAAGUCUGGACACUGUGUAGCUGUAUUGUUUGUGUUUGGUUGGAUUUUACAGGGAUUUAUAUUUGAGCAUUUAUUGUGAUCCCACUACAGUAUUAUUGAGUUUGAAUGUCAGUGGUGCUUUUGAUAAUUUGAUGUGAGUUUAAUCAUGAUUUUGUUUGUAAAAGAAAAGAAGAAUAGCUUUUAAGUUUCCCAGUAGGAAAACGUGAAAUUUAAUGCAUUUGUUUACACAUGAUGAUGAACUACACACAGACGUCCGUGUAAAAUGUGUGCUUAUGGAUUAAUGUAUGUAGCAGUGACUUAAAAAAAAAACCAACAUAUUUAUGUAUUUCUUUCACGUCACUUAUCAUACAAUUCGGUGAUCAAGAAUAAAAAUAUGAGUUCAUACUCAAAACGACCCGAAAAUAAAUCAUCAUGUAAAAUUUCCGUAGAACCGGAUAAUAAAGUAAUACAUAUUUUUUUAAUUUUCAUUUUGUCUUAUAUUUAUCAAAAACUGUUUCCAUCCAAAGUGAAAAAACUAUGUAUAUGUUUUAUCCAUUAUAGUUAGGUAAAUGAAGCAUUAUUUUAUCAUUUUGUGUAGAUAUUAUAAAUUAUAGUAAUUGAUUUGAUGUUCACUUGGUAAGAAACAGGUGGGAUAGUUUAGGGAAAGUUGGGAGAAAGGAAAUACCAAUAUUUACGUAUUAGUUGUUUUUGUAAAGUUUGGAGUCGGAUCAUACCCAUGAAUGUGUAUUAUUUUUGAAUGAGUGGUCGUUUUAGGAUAUACUACCAAAACAACGUACACGCAUACUAUUGUGGUGUGCCCUAGCGAUGCAAUACAGUAUAAUGCAAAUCUUUGAAAUUUUGAUACUGGAAUUUCCUACCUUAAAUGCAAAAAGUAUUUGAUGUGAAAAGAUCACUACAUAAUGACAAAAAACACUCGCCAUUAUGUCAUUUUUUUAUCCUUUUUUUUAAAAACUUUUUUCACUGAAGUGUAAAAAACGUUUUUUGUACUUCAGAGAAAGAAGUCGUUUUUGCACUUCAGAGAAUAAAACAGGUAAGGUUGGGAGGCUGGAGAAAACUGUGUAUGCUGUUUGAAAAAGUCUAGAGACGAGAGAAAAUCUUGUUUGUUCUGUGGUUAGGUUGAGAGACAACUCGGAUUCGUGGGAAGGUUCAGAGACAGGAGAUAACCCGAAGUACUAAUUAUAAAGGUGGUUAAUAGAUCUAGAGAUGUGUGAGUAGUUUGUGAGAGGGGACAUAACUCUGUGUCUUGUCUUAGACGUUAGAUUGUUCUAUAUAUGUGUAUUAGUUGUGUGGUUUGAUUGGGAGGCAGUGAACAAUACUGUUCGUUAUGUAGAUAUAUAGGUUUUAAGACGAGGGCUAACUGUGUGUGCUGCCUAGGUAGCUUGGGAGUGGGAGGCAAAUAUACCUAUUUAUAUGUUUUGUUGUGUAGGUCGGGAGACGGGAUGAUUAUGUAAGUUGUGUUAGUAGGUAGAUUGAGAGUGUUUUGUAUUAUUAGUUCACACAUUCCAAUGCAAGGUAUUCAUUUUCACAUACAUUCAACAAAAUAUUGAAUGUUAGAAUGCACGUGUUUGUCAUAUAAGGUAUUAUGUCAAAUAUGAGAAUUAUUGUCUUUUUAUUCAAUAUAAGAAAGUUGCUGAUCAUGAUUUUUUUUCAAAUAAAAUGUGAAAAUAA
This 6750-nucleotide unclassified non-coding RNA is filed under the name Mizuhopecten yessoensis (Yesso scallop). RNAcentral describes it as "cysteine-rich hydrophobic domain-containing protein 2-like, transcript variant X1". Lineage: Eukaryota; Metazoa; Mollusca; Bivalvia; Pectinida; Pectinidae. The record is from RNAcentral.